Molecule: long non-coding RNA, 2690 nt
Organism: Panthera uncia (snow leopard)
Lineage: Eukaryota; Metazoa; Chordata; Mammalia; Carnivora; Felidae
Exons: 4
Source: RefSeq, a predicted model, not a curated record
UUAUCUACUACUAAACUGGGUCAGUCAUCAGAGGAUCAAAGCAGGGGACCUGACCAGGUCACGGUGGUGAUAAGGCCCCUGCAUGGUGACAUGAAGCGACACAAAUGACACAGGUGCUGUGAUGGAGUGGUAGGCCACCACUAAUCUCCUGACCACACAGCAGAAGGAGCAUCAUUUGCUCCUGGCCGAAGCUGACCCCGGAUCACUUGCUUUGGAGGAAGCCAGCUGUCAGGGUGUGAGGACACUCAAGCAGUUUAUGAAGAGGUCCACGUGGCAAGGAACUGAAGCCUUUUGCCAACAACCAAGGUGGAAGUGAAGGAGCCGUGUGAGGGGGCCAGGAUGGAAGGAGGCCCUCCAGCCGCAGUCAAGCCUUCAGAUGGCUGCAACCCUGGCCAUCGGCCUGACUACAAGUCCAGGAGAGACCCUGAGCCAGAACCCCAGCCAGGCUCCUCCCAGGUCCCUGGCCAUCUGAAAGGUCCCUCCAUGCUGAAGGCCAUCUCCCCUCACCACCCAAGGAAAAGUGACCUCGGGAAUUCUGGCAGAUCCCACACAGACAGGACGAUGGAAAAAGGAGCCGUGGUGAGAGGCUGGGGUCCCCUGGGAGAGUAUGAAGCACGUGGUGGGUCUCUCCCCAGAAAAAUAUACACAAACGCAUGAUUUUGCAUGAAAGUUUAAGGGGGUUAAACUGAUUCACGGAUACUCUGGUGUGAUGACCGGGGCCUUAGAUGGCAUCAAAAGGCCUUAAAUCAUGGCUCUUCCUGGGCAUGUCUGAAAUGCAUUUCUCCCAACUGUACAAUAGAGACAAGAGCCUCUCCCUCCCUAGGCUUUUUGUUCAUGACUCUGCGCUGGUGGGAGCAGGGUGCUCAGAGAGGGGGUGCCCACUAGGGUGGGGUGGGGAGCAGGUGAGACGCAGUUAUGUUUAAUACAACCAACAAUAUCAGUCACGUUUAGAUGUGAAGUGACGGGAGGUGAGAGUGGACAGGGAGGGACUGGAAGGAAAAGUAAAAGCCGUCAGUCUAAGAAAGAAGAGGAGAACAGCAAGUGUUGACAAAAAUGUGGAAAAGCCCCGUAUGCUGCUGGUGGGAAUAUAAGACAUUCAGCCUCUGUGCUAAAUAGUUUGGCGAAAUAGUUCCACAAAAACUUAAGACAUGGAAUUACCAUGUGUGAUAUUGUGACUCAUACAAGCUAUAUUUGGUCUUUGUCCCCAGUCCUAGUAUAGAACUCCUCAAAUCCUUGGAAUUUCCUAAGAGAGGACAGAAGACAAAGUUGCGUUUUGUUAUGUUAAUGAGGCGACUGUUGAAAAACCACCUAGGGAAUCUACGGGAGGGAGCCGGUUCAAUCACGUGAUUGGAGGGUUAGAACUUUCAGUCGCAACUCUCGACUCCAGGGAGAGGAGAGGGGCUAGAGAUUCAAUCAUUGGCCAAUAAUGAUUUGCUCAAUCAUGCCCGUGUAAUGAAGCCACCAAAAGCAAAAGCAAAAGCAAAAACAAAAACAAAAACCAAAACCAAAGGAGGGGCUUUGGAGAGCUUCCGGGUUGGUGAGCACAGGAGAUUCUGGAGGAGCGCACUCUGGAGAGGGCAUGGAAGUUGGCACCUUUCCCCAUCCCUUGUCUGAUGCAUCUCCACCAUCUGGCUAUUCCUGAGUUCUAUCCUUCGAUAUAAACUAGUAAUCCAACGGGUACCAUGUCUUCCCGACUUCUGUGGCCUCCCUAGCAAAUUAAUAGAGCCCAGGGAGGGGGGUCGCUGGAACCCCCAACCUACAGUCGGACAUCUGAAGCACAGGUGACAGACUGGACUUUGGACUGGCGUCUGCAAUGGGGAGAGGGGUCGAUUUGCAGGACUGAGCCCUCAACCUGGGGGGGUCUGAUGCUGUUUCUAGGUCAAUGGUGUCAGCACGGAGUUGAACUGCACACACUCGAUUGGUAUCAGAAAACUGCUUGGUGGCGUUGGAAAAAAACCCACACACAUCAGAACUGGUGUCAGAACUGGACCAUGUGACUCAGCAAUUUCAUUUCCCAGGCACCUACCCGGAAGAGUUGAAAAUAGGGACUCAACAAAUACUUGCACAUGAAUGUUCAUAGCAGGAUAAUUGACAAUAGCCAAAGCGUGGAAAGAACUCAAAUGCCCAUCAGCAGAUGAAUGGAUGGACAAAGAGUGACAGACCCACAUGAUGAAAUACAUGCCACAGUGUGGACGAACCUCAAAAUUUUAUGCUGAGUGAAAGACGCUAGGCUCAAAAGGCCACAUAUGAUCCCACUCAUCUAAACCGGAAGAGAGAAAUUCACAGAAACAGAAAGCAGAUGGGUGGUUGCCAGGAAUAAGAGGGAAAUGGGGAGUCACCGCUUAGGGGACAUCGAUUUUAUUCUGGGGGGGUUGAAAAUGUUUUGGAACUACGUAGAGGGGAUAGUUACACACUAUUAUGAAAAUAUGAAAUGACACGCAAUUGAACACUUUAAAAUGGUUAAUGUGGGGGGCGCCUGGUUGGUUCAGUGGGUUGAGCAUCCGGCUCUUGGUUUUGGCUCAGGUCAGGGUCUUGUGGUUUGUGACACUGAGCCCCGCCCGUGCUGGGCUCCAUAGCACGGAGCCUGCAGGAUUCUCUCUCUCCCUCUCUCUCAGCCCCUGCCCUGCUCGAACUCACAUACGUACGCGCUCUCUCUCCAAAAUAAACUUGAGAAGAUGAGACAGCCCGGU